AAGGGCUGCGCCUGUGGCAUAUGGUAGUUAGUUCCCAGAACAGGGGUCGAAUCAGAGCUAUAGCUGCCGGCCACAGCCACAGCCACAGCCACAGCCACAUGGAAUCUGAGCCAUGCCUGCGACCUACACCACGGUUCACAGCAAUGCCGGACUCUUAACCCACUGAGCGAGGCCAGGGAUCAAACCCUCAUCCUCACGGAUACCACGUGGAUUCGUUUCCACUGCACCACAAUGGGAACUCCCAACAGGAAAGGCUUUAGAGAAAGAAACCAAGAAUUUCUUGACAAUCAGAGAAACAGAACACUGGAAGUGGUUCUGAAGGAGUUCCCAGGACGGUCUUUUCCUGGAAGAAACGUUCUGGAUAAAAAUGACAAUUCCAAGGUAUGGCCAUGCAUCUUGCGGAAGGCAAGGAACUCAUUUCUCCCAAGGUCCCGCUCUGAGCUCAUGUUCCAGAGAGGUGAGAGGUGGAGAUGAGUCUUCCUCCUCCACAACUGCCUUCCCGGAGGGAUCUGCUAACUGACCACCUGAUCUAUAUUCCCACCAAUAAGGACCACAAACUACCUGGAAUUAAAGAUCUCGGCCAGGCAACAACGCCAGGAAUGGAUCCUCCAACAGCCACCUAAGGUGAAUGGGGCCACCGGCCAAAUACCCAAACCAGAAAGUCUUUGAGCCACGCAUGCGAAUAAGAAAUGUGCUGCUUUUACAAGGAUAAAAAAUGUAAGUAAUGAAAGAGGAAGACAGAAUCUUCUGCCAAUAAGAGAUGGUAAUUUCUUAGAAAAUCUACAGGAGGUAUUUUCUACAUUCAGAAAUACUUUUCUGAGGGAACCCUCCUACACUGUUGGUAGGAAUGUAAAUUGGUACAACCACUAUGGAAAACAAUAUGGAGGUGCCUUAGAACAACUAAAUAUAAAACUACCAGAUGACCCAGCAAUCCCACUCCUGGGCAUAUAUCCAGACUAAACCUUCACUGCAAAAGAUUCAUGCACCCGCAUGUUCACUGCAGCACUAUUCACAACAGCCAAGACAUGGAAACAAUCCAAAUGCCCGACGACAGAUGAAUGGAUUGAGACGAUGUGGUACAUACACACAAUGGAAUACUACUCAGCCAUAAAAAAGAACAAAAUCAUGCCAUCUGCAGCAACAUGGAUGGAACUAGAGACUCUCCAGAGAAAGAGAAAUACCAUAUGAUAUCACUUAUAUCUGGAAUCUAAUAGACGGCACAAAUGAACCUAUCUUCAGAAAAGAAACAAACUUGUGGACAUGGCGAACAGACCUGUGGCUGCCAAGGGGGAAGGAGGUGGGGGAGGAGUGGGAGGGACUGGGAGUUUGGGGUUAGUAGAGGCAAACUAUUGCCUUUGGAGUGGAUAAGCAAUGAGAUCCUGCUGUACAGCACAGGGAACCAUAUCUAAUCACUUGUGAUGGAACAUGACGGAGGAUAACGUGAAAAAAAGAAUGCGUAUAAAUGUGUAAGUCACUUUGCUGCACAGCAGAAGUGGACAGAACACUGUAAAUCAACUAUACUAAAAAAUUUUAAAUUUUUUAAAAAAAGAAAUAAGCUUCUGAUUCCAAGUAAAGAAAAUAUUUCAAGAGAAAAUAGAGAAAUGGGGGUCUUCCUUUUAUACCUCAAGAAACAUCAGCAUGUAAGAAUUUAGAACUGGUGCAUGUGAGUGUCCUCGAGCGAACACGUGUGCACACAAACAAGGCAUUCCAUCUUGAGUCAGACCACAGUCCAAUGAGCUCAGGUUUAGUUUUGACUUUCCCUUCCCACCCCCUGAGCUCAAGGUCAGGGACCCUCCAUAAACUUUUGUUAAAUGGAUGCUUUAAAGAAGUGCCCUGCUUAUAAAACAGGGGUGACAGUGCCUACUUUGCGGAUCUGUUAGGAGGACAAGUGAAUCCAUGAGGGUAGAGGGUGGGGCACAAACUAGGUGGGGUCUAAAUCACAACUACUGCCAUGAACAUCAGAUAUUUUAGUUUUUUUUCUGUGUGUGUUUGUGUCUUUUUGCCCUUUCUAGGGUCACACCUGCAGCAUAUGGAGGUUCCCAGGCUAAGUGUCUAAUGGGAGCUGCAGCCACCAGCCUACACCACAGCCACAGCCACACAGGAUCCGAGCCACGUCUGCCACCUACACCACAGCUCCUUAGCCCACUGAGCAAGGCCAGGGAUCGAACCCACAACCUCAUGGUUCCUAGUCGGAGUCGUUAAGCACUGAGCCAUGAUGGGAACUCCACUUUAGGUUCUUUUAGAGGAAAAAUCAAGACCUUCUCCUCCCCUCAACAGGUUCCAGCUGUAUGAAGUGGAACUAUUCUGCAUUUGGGCCUUUCAAGUUCACACUCCAUCGGAGGUUAUGCAAAGUCUGCUGGCAUUAUUCUGCACCUCGCCUUUGACAGCAACCUGAAGAGCCUGAAUUGCCAUUAGAAGACUACCAGAAAGCACUGGCAAAUGACACUUUCAGAGAACAACAAAAAAAUACUCAUGUAUCACACCCUCUUGAUCAUCGCUACUUUGUUCCAUAUAAACCUCAAAGGUGGGUUCCUUUAAGCUUCGUCUCUAUGGGAGGAAGGAAGAGAGAAACAUAAAAAACAAAACAUGAAGCACACGAGCAGCUGUAACUUGCAUAAAGCGCCAAAUUUUCUUUUGCAGGAAAAUGAUGUUUGACGACGCAUCGCUCCAGACCCUGGCUCGUGGUUGAGUGGGUGCCUCCCCUCGGAGGAGGC
Molecule: long non-coding RNA, 2714 nt
Filed under: Sus scrofa (pig)
Lineage: Eukaryota; Metazoa; Chordata; Mammalia; Artiodactyla; Suidae
Description: lncRNA (ENSSSCG00055019289.1)
Source: RNAcentral